GAAAUGCGAUAAUUAAUGUGAAUUGCAGAAUUCAGUGAAUCAUCGAGUCUUUGAACGCACAUUGCGCCCCCUGGUAUUCCGGGGGGCAUGCCUGUCCGAGCGUCAUUGCUGCCCUCAAGCACGGCUUGUGUGUUGGGCUUCCGUCCCUGGCAACGGGGACGGGCCCAAAAGGCAGUGGCGGCACCAUGUCUGGUCCUCGAGCGUAUGGGGCUUUGUCACCCGCUCCCGUAGGUCUAGCUGGCAGCUAGCCUCGCAACCAAUCUUUUUAACCAGGUUGACCUCGGAUCAGGUAGGGAUACCCGCUGAACUUAAGC
Molecule: unclassified non-coding RNA, 314 nt
Filed under: plant metagenome
Description: partial contains 5.8S ribosomal RNA, internal transcribed spacer 2, and large subunit ribosomal RNA
Rfam family: 5.8S ribosomal RNA (bases 1-105)
Source: RNAcentral